UGGGGAAUCGUCUAGAGGUAGGACACGUGACUCUGGAUCACGGAGCGAAGGUUCGAAUCCUUCUUCCCCAGCCA
This 74-nucleotide transfer RNA is filed under the name subsurface metagenome. RNAcentral's name for it is "tRNA-Gln". It matches the Rfam family "tRNA". Rfam says of the family: Transfer RNA (tRNA) molecules are approximately 80 nucleotides in length. Their secondary structure includes four short double-helical elements and three loops (D, anti-codon, and T loops). Further hydrogen bonds mediate the characteristic L-shaped molecular structure. tRNAs have two regions of fundamental functional importance: the anti-codon, which is responsible for specific mRNA codon recognition, and the 3' end, to which the tRNAs corresponding amino acid is attached (by aminoacyl-tRNA synthetases). tRNAs cope with the degeneracy of the genetic code in two manners: having more than one tRNA (with a specific anti-codon) for a particular amino acid; and 'wobble' base-pairing, i.e. permitting non-standard base-pairing at the 3rd anti-codon position. The record is from RNAcentral.